UACGAAGGGGGCUAGCGUUGCUCGGAAUGACUGGGCGUAAAGGGCGCGUAGGCGGAUGGUACAGUCAGAUGUGAAAUUCCCGGGCUUAACCUGGGGGCUGCAUUUGAUACGUGCGAUCUGGAGUGAGGAAGAGGGUCGUGGAAUUCCCAGUGUAGAGGUGAAAUUCGUAGAUAUCGGGAGGAACACCAGUGGCGAAGGCGGCGAUCUGGGUCGAUACUGACGCUGAGGUGCGAAAGCGUGGGGAGCAAACAGG
RNAcentral lists this ribosomal RNA (253 nucleotides) under uncultured bacterium. Its description in RNAcentral is "partial 16S ribosomal RNA". It matches the Rfam family "Bacterial small subunit ribosomal RNA", at positions 524 to 776 of the family's 1533-position model. The record is from RNAcentral.